Molecule: small RNA, 76 nt
Filed under: Xanthomonas floridensis
Lineage: Bacteria; Pseudomonadati; Pseudomonadota; Gammaproteobacteria; Lysobacterales; Lysobacteraceae
Description: sX9 sRNA
Rfam family: Xanthomonas sRNA sX9
Source: RNAcentral
AUGUGCUCCUCGUCCGUUUCGGUUCGUCCACGCCGUCUACCCCAACCUGACGACCGCUCCCUACGUUGUGGUAGCC